AUCGAUUGAGUCUUAGUAGUGGGUACAACUGUUAAGUGAGCUGAUGUGGCAAAGCCAUCUAUAAAUAUCUACACAGCUGAAGGGAAAUGCAGUUAUGGAAACAUUGGUAAUCUCUUCUAGAAACUUCUACUUCUUCUUCGUUCUCUCUUCUCUCAUCUUCUUUCCUUCUUAACUAUCAUUCUCACUUCACUCACAAGUCAUUAAUGGCGACACCAAGUAGGCUAUGGUGAUUAUAAUCUAGUUAUCGAUCCACAGUUUAUGAGUAAUAAAAUUUCCUAAUUCAUUUGUGUCAAUUGUCAAUUUUACGAAUUCGAACUCGAUUAGCAGUGCUGACAUCAGAGUGUUACAGUUAGUAUCAAAGUCACGUCUUGGCCAUUACACAUGACGAUUAUAGAAACAAGAUCGAAAGAUAUGGAGGAAAAUAUAAAGAAAUUGGAAUUUCAGUUACAAAACCACAUCGCAGAGGCAAAUUAGAAAACAGAAAUAACAGAUGGAAAAAUCGAUGAUCUAGGCCAAAAACUAGAUUUAUUGAUGGAUGUAAUGAUGGCCAAAAGAUAUGGAAUAUUGGGGGCGCCUCUAGGAGUAACAUCAUCAGCUGGAGGUUCCGAUAACCACUAUAAACCGGUAGAAUUGGAGAAUACACUUGCAACACAAAAUCAGAUAAGUAACUUUAGUCACAAGGUUGAGUUUCCAUAUUUUGAGGAAGGAGAUCCCCAAUCAUGGUUACAUAAGUGUGAGAGGUAUUUUUAUUAUAAUCAAGUUGAAAAUCCCAAGGAAAAGCUGCAGAUGGCAGUACUACAUUUGAAUGGUAGAGCAGAAUCAUGGUAUUUUUCAUUCCACCUUAGUAAAGAUGUAGUGAAAUGGGGGGAGUUUGUGGAGGAAAUCUAUAAAAAGUUCUCUGAUUCCAUUAAUAGUACCAUGAAUCUGUUGGGAGAGUUUAAAAAGUUGGAACAAACAGGCACGGUGAAUGAAUACCUAGAAAGGUUUGAAGAUCUCAAGGUUUAGGUAAUGAUGAGAAACCCUACAAUUUUGAAGGAAUUUUUCUUGGGAUUUUUUAUUGAAGGCUUAAAGGAAGGGAUUAAACACAUAUUAAAAAUGCUAGACCCCCACUUUGACUCAAGCAGUGGAUAAGGCUCGACAUCAGGAGAAUUUAUUAGAGUCAAACAGUAAAAGAAAAAGGGUUACAUGGGAUAAAAAUGCUACACCUGCAGGUUUUCAACAUCAACAAAAUCCAAAUAGUGCUACUAGGUUCAACAAAGACAAUCAAGGAGCCUUAGGACCCGGGAGUAGUAGCUUGAGGGAGAAUAGGAGAUUACAAGGGCUGUGUUAUAAAUAUAGAUAUAAAUAUGUCUAUGGUCAUCAGUGUAAAUCCAAGAAGCUCAAUGCUAUUUCAGGUGAGAUGAAUCAAGAAGAAGUGUAAGGUGAAAUUGUAAAUGAAGAGAUAGUGGAAGAAGACAUUCCAUUCACUGAAGAAGAGACAAUGGAUGAGGCCAUCAUUUUACAUGCUCUAUCAGGAAUUGAGAUCCUAAAUACUAUCAGACUCAGAGGCAAAUGUAAAAAAAAAAAGCUCACCAUUUUGUUGAAUUCUGGUUGUACACAUAGUUUCCUAGACAUGGAAACAGCUAAGGAAAUGGGUUGUGUAAUUAAGGAAUCUCAUCCAAUGAGGGUGACAGUUGCUAAUGGAAGUCUGUUAAUGAUUUACCAUAUUUGUCCUAAGUUUAAAUGGGUAAUUCAGAGUGUGGAAUUUGAGGACUCUGUAAGGCUCAUCAAGCUUGGGGCUGCUGAUAUGAUACUAAAAGGAGAUUGGAUAAGGAACCAUAAUCCAUUUUUAUUGGACUUUGUAGCUUAUGAAGCUCAAGUCACUCAUCAGGGAAAAAGGGUCAAGUUAAAAGGAUUAUAUCAUGAAGCCUCACUGAAGUCUAUGUCAGCAACCAGCCUAAAAUCAUUGUUCAAGAAAGGAAAGGUAUUUUGGUCCCAUUUAUUAACUAUGUCUGCAAAUGAGAUAGUUGAGAAGAAGAACUUACCAGGGGUUAUCAACUCUACUUUAGAGAAGUAUGCAUAUGUGUUCUUUGAGCCCACUUCCUUGCCUCCAAAAAGCUAUCAUGACCACUCUAUUCCUCUGAAACCUGAUGCCAUACCUGUAAGUAUCAGACCAUACCGAUGUAAUUUUUUCAGAAAAAUGAGAUUGAAAAAAAGAUUAAAGAGAUGAUGCAUAAUGGAAUUAUCCAACCCAGCCACUCCUUAUUCUCUUCCCUUGUGUUGUUGGUCAAAAAGAAGGAUGGAACUUGGAGGUUUUGCGUUGAUUAUAGGGAGCUUAACAAAAUGACUGUGAAGGAUAAAUUCCCUAUUCCCGUAGAAGAUGAUUUGUUGGAUGAAUUACAUGGUGCCUCCAUAUUUUCUAAAAUCGAUCUUAGGGCAGGCUAUUAUCAGAUCAGGAUGCAUGCAGAUGAUAUCUCCAAAACGUCAUUUAGAACUCACUUGGAUCACUAUGAGUUCAAAGUGAUGCCCUUUAGCCUCACCAAUGCACCAGCCACAUUUCAAAGUCUGAUGAACUAUGUAUUUAGAGACUAUAUCAGACAAUUUAUGUUGGUAUUCUUUGAUGACAUACUAGUUUAUAGUUCCAGCCUAAGCGCACAUGUUAUUCAUCUGGAAAGGUUGUUAGGAGUGUUGAGGAAGAAGCAAAUCUUUGCUAAAUAGUCUAAAUGUGCAUUUGGGCAAGAAAGGGUUGAGUAUCUUGGCCACAUAAUAACUGGGGCUGGUGUAUCUACUGACCCUAUAAAAAUUGUAGCUAUGGUUACUUAGCCUGUUCCCAAGCCUAUCAAAGCAUUAAGAGGGUUUUUAGGCUUGACUGGGUACUAUAUGAGGUUCAUAAGGAAUUAUGGGUGGAUCAAUAAACCUCUGAUGAAUCUAUUGAAGAAAAACUCUUUCAGUUGGAAUGUUGAUGCAAAGUCUGCUUUCCAGGAGCUAAAAGGUGCAAUGUCGACUGCCCUUGUUUUAGCUCUAGCUAAUUUUAACAAGGAGUUCACUGUGGAAACUAAUGCAUGCUCUAGAGGUAUUGGGGCGGUGCUAAUGCAGGAAGGUAGAUCGAUUGCUUUUUUUAGCAAAACUCUAGCUCCCAAGAAUUGGGGUCUUUCCACCUAUGAAAAAGAAUAUAUAGCAGUUUUGGCUGCUGUGGACAGGUGGAGACACUAUUUGAUGAGUGGACAUUUUGUUAUCAAAACUGAUCAUCAGAGCUUAAAGUACCUAUUAGAGCAAAGAGUGACCACUGCCUUACAACAAAAGGGUUUGACUAAGUUGAUGGGCAUGGACUAUGAUGUAAAAUACAAAAAAGGCACUGCAAAUCGGGUUGUUGAUGUGCUUUCCAGAAGGCAUAAAACAGAGUAUACACUAGCUACUAUCACCACUAUAGAACCAACAUGGAUGCACACUUAGCUAUGAACAUGACCCCUAUUCCUUGUAACUCUUGACGGAUCUCACCACUAAUCCUAGACAACAAGGCAAGUAUUCUUUACAAUAGGGUACCAUCCGAUAUGAUCAUAAGCUACUCAUUGGGAAAGGUACUGAUUUAAGGAAAAAGAUUUAGGAAUUUCUACAUCCAUCUCCAUUAGGUGGUCACUCUGGGCAACAAGCUACUUAUAGAAGAAUCAAGAUGAAUUUUACUGGCCACACAUGAAGAAGGACAUUUUGCAGUGGGUGUCUGAGUGUGAUGUAUGCCAGAGGAUUAAAACUGAAAAUGUUCAGUCUCCAAGGCUGUUACAUCCUCUACCAAUUCCUGAGACCCCAUGGCAAGACAUAGGCAUGGAUUUUAUAAAUUGAUUGCCUAUAUCUUACAAUAAUAAUUUAGUAUUAGUAGUGGUGGAUAGACUGACCAAAUAUGGUCACUUUAUUGCAUUUAAACACCCAUAUUCUUCACAAGAGGUGGCAGAUGUUUUCUUAAAGGAGAUCUACAGACUUCAUGGACUACCUAUUUCUAUUUUCAUAGAUAGAGGGUCAGUUUUUACUAGCCAAUUCUGGCAAUAACUUUUCAAGGCAUUGGGUACUAGACUUAACCUUACAACAACAUAUCACCCCCAAGCAGAUGGUCAAACGGAGCGACUAAAUAGAUGCUUAGAAAUAUAUCUUUGUGCAAUGGUGUUUGCUAAUCCUUAGCAAUGGGUUACGUGGUUGCACCUGAUGAAAUGGUGGUAUAACACCAACCACCAUAGUGCCCUCAAAACCACUCCAUUUGAGGUGUUGUAUGGGUUUCCUCCCCUACAGUUACCCAUGGGAUACCUAGGCCAUUCUAUUUAUACUCAGGUGGGGGCAGAUCUUGCUCGUAGACAAUUACUGUUGCAAUAAUUAAAAAUAAUUUAUCAGUGCCCCAAGCGAGAAUGAAGUUUUACGCUGAUAAACGGAGGUAGGAGAGGACAUUGGCAGUAGGUGAUUUGGUCUAUCUUAAUCUCCAACUUUAACGACAGGCUUCAGUGGAGGUGCGCAGAAAUCUUAAACUGAGUGCUAAAUUUUAUGGCCUAUACAAGAUAAUGGAUAGGGUGGGAACAAUAGCUUACCAUUUAGAGUUGCUGCCAGGGUCAUGAAUCCACCCUGUUUUCCAUGUGUCAUAGCUGAAACAGCACAUAGGGCUCUCUGUGGUCUCUUAACAAUAACCCCCCCAGUUGUGAUGCUGAAGGUAGUAUCUUGGUUGAACUCAUUGCCAUCAUCAAACAUUAUCUCAUCAAACUGAAUAACACUAUUGCUGUCAAGGUGCUUGUGCAGUGGUCCAAUAUGAGUCCAGCUGAAGCAACCUGGGAAGAUUGGUCCUAUAUUCGUAGUAGAUUUCCGCAAUUUAUGGCUCGUUCUUGACCUUGAGGAAAAGAUCAUUCUUGCAGGGGUAGGGAUUGUUAUAUCCUAAGGAGAAAAUUGAGAGAAAAUUGGAUUGAGAAUAACAGAUCGAUUGAGGCUUAGUAGUGGGUCCAACUGUUAAGUGAGCUGACGUGGCAAACCCAUCUAUAAAUAUCUACACAACUGAAGGGAAAGGAAGUUAUGGAAAUAUUGGUAAUUUCUUCUAGAAACUUUUGCUUCUUCUUUGUUCUCUUUUUUCUCAUCUUCUUCCUUUCUUAACUAUCAUUCUCACUUCACUCAUAGGUCAUUAAUGGCGACACCAUGCAGGCUAUGGAGAUUAUAGUCUGGUUUUCUUCCCUUAAUAAUUGUAAUCGAUCCACAGUUUAUGAGCAAUAAAAUUUCCCAAUUCGUUUGUGUCAAUUGUCAAUUUUACGAAUUCAAACUCGAUUAGCAGUGCUUACAAGUGUUACAGUUUCCUGCUUCGUUUGCAUUUUAAAUUUUAGUUUACCCAUUUUAUUUUUCUGAAACAUAGGUAACUCCUCCAUUACUUCAAUUCCUUUAGGAACAGUGAAAUCUCCGUUAAAUCUAGGAGGUUCACAUAUUGCUUGUGCUUUUUCAAUUAGAGGAUCAUCUUCUAAUUUUUUCAGCCCAUGAUUUUUUUCAUGUUCUACAGAAACAUCUUUUAUUAGAUCAAAUAAGAAAUGUUUACCUCUUAUCUUAAUGUUUAAAACUUCUUUUCCAGCACCAUUAUUGAUGAAACAAUGUUUAUCCUCAAAUACUACUUUGUAUCCUUUUUCUACCAACUGAUAAAUACUCAAUAAGUUUUGUCAAUAUCAGGUACAUAAAGAACAUCCGAAAUUACUUUAUUAUCUGAACUUAUUUUGAUGACAACAGUUCUUUUUCCUUCAAUAAAAAUUUGGUCACCAUUUUCGAUCCUAACUUUGGAUAUUUAGUAGGCUUUAAUUCUGUAAACAAACUCUUGUUAUAAGUCAUGUGAUUGGUGCAACCGCUAUCAAUCAACCAAAAAUUUGUUGAAACCUUACUUGAGAUACAUGUUGCAAUAAAAAGAUGGUCUUCUUCUUCUUUAUUGACCACACGUGCAUCUGCUUCAUGAUUUUCAAAAUUGCUUUUGCAAAUCACUGCUUCAUGGCGAAGUUGAUUGCACUUGAUGCACUUCGCUUCUGAACUUUUCCAAUAUUUAUAUGGUGGAUGACCCAUUUUCCCACAGUGCUCACAAGGUGGGUAAUUUUUUUAAAUUUUUACCCCUUUUUUGAGUUUUGUAGUUGGCUGCUAAGGCUCCUUCAACUAUACCAUCUUGCCUCAUAAGUUUUCUUUGUUCCAGUGCCUGAAAAGAAUUUAACAACUCCGCCAAAGUAAUCUUGGAUAGAUCUUGUGUAUUUUUCAAGGUAGUUAUACAUACUUCAUAUCUUUCGGACACCAUAACAAGAAUUUUUGCAAUAAUUCUUGAAUCUUUAAAUUCAGUGCCUAGUAAUCUUACCUUGUUAACAAUGCCAAGUAAUCUGUCAGAGUACUCUUUGACUGUCUCGGAGUCUUUCAUUCUCUGCAACUCAAACUCUCUUAUUAAAUUCAAUACAUUCUGCAGAUUCUUUCAUCUCCAGCAUAUUUUUUCUUCAGAUAAUCCUAAAUUUCUUUUGGUGAUGUGAGAGAUAUAAUUCUUGUAAAAAUAGUUGUUGAAAUAAAAGCAAACAGAUUUGCCUUUGCCUUUGCCUUAGAUUUCGUGGUUUUUUUUCCCUUGUGACUCUUGAUUUAGAUUGUGGUGGGAUUAUUUGGCAGCAAAAUAAUUUCAUAAUUAUCUUUCACAGCUUUCCAUAGAUCAAGAUCCUCCAAGUAAGUUUUCAUUCUCACAGUCCAUAAUUAAUAAUUUUCACCAUAAAAAAUGGGUGGAGCCAUUCGUGAAAAACUAUUUUCAGAAUCCAUCUCUUCACAGUUCACUCACAGUUCUCUCAAGAAAAAUAGCUCUAGAUACCAAUUGUUGGUUUUAAUACUUUUAAAAACUAAAAAUAAAGAUGAGUUAGAAGAGAAGAGAUACAGAGAAGUUUAUUUUUUUUUCUGGUAAAAUUGUAUAUUAUUGAUCAUCAACUCCUCCUUAAAUAGUGGUUAUUACAACCAAAAAUAGGUUAAACUUACCAUAAAAAAAAUAACCUAUUUGCUACCAAAAAUAAUAACUAAUCAGUUCCUACCAAAAAUAAGAAUCCCAAUUUGACUUGAGUUGUAUGUUAAAAAAAUGGAGAGAAUAAAAAAAUAAAUCACGUGCAUUACUUAAAGAAACUUUUAACAGAUACAUAUUAUCACAAAGAGACACAACUUAUAAAAACACAGAAAUAUACAUACUAAUACCGUCAAAAUAUUUUACGAGAUACAUAAUAACCAAAAGAGAUACAAGAAUCUAAAAUAACAGAUACUUAUACAACAUUCUAUGAGAAAUGAAUAACUUUACACCCAUAUCAUAACGAAUACUUAUACAACAUUCUACGGGCAUACUUUUUUGGAUCUCUAUGUAUAGCUUUACACCCAUAUCAUUAUGGAUAAACAAGGGAGAUGAGUUUCCAUCAACAAUGUAUCGAACUUCAAUUCUUUUCUUUGUUUCGCCGAUUUCAAGUUCUACAACAAUGACCGAACUUGACAUCAUUAAUCCAAAUAUCGCAUUGAUGUAAUAAAACAAAAAUAUUCAUUGCAAAUAGUUGAAAAAAAAUAAUUAGCACGAAGAAAGAUAAAAUGAGAAGAAGAAGGAGUUUGCAAAUGAGAAAAAAUCACACUACAAUGACAUCACUCUUAUAGCCCUCGUACUUGACAUCAUUAAUUCAAACAUCGGAAUGACAUAAUAAUUCAGAAAUAUUCAUUGAAAAUAGUUCAAGAAGAAUCAAGAACCUCAAAAAAAUGAUGUAGAAUAAAUCUGCAAAACGAUUAUCGAAAUGAAUUUGUUCAGAAUUGUAAUUACUAAUUAAUUACUAUUUUUUGAGGGAUUUUCUUUAGUUACCUAGUUGAUUGAUUGAGUUAAUAGCUAAUUUAGUGAUUUACUAACUGUUACAACCCUUAAGUAAAGCUAAUCAGUCAAUUAAUAAGAUGUAUCAUUAAGAUCUAUCUGAUUUACAUUUAUAUAUUUGAAAUCAUACAAAAAGGAAUUUUAUGAGAUUUUGAAAAAAAUUGAAAUAACAUGUAAAGAUGGAUAAACUUUUCGGGGUUUACCUAAAUUUUACAUUAAAUAAAGUUAUGAGAAAAAAAUAUUAAAACCCAUUAAAAAUCCAAAAUAUAUGUAAGUUAUCUUUUUUCUUUAUUCCCCCUAUUCAUGGAACUAUUCAUAUUAUAUGACAAUUUAGGUCUCAUCAUCAACUUAUUGUGAAUUCAUAUUAUAACAUGGCAUUUUGGUUUUCAUAUUUAAUUAAAAAUAAUUUAUUUUACAUAAUUAAAAAUGUAUUAAUAAAAAAAUUCAAAUUAAUAUUAUAUAAAUAAAUAAAAGUUUACAUAAUCAAGAAAUAAUAUUAAACUGAUACCACUUAAAUGAGAAUCUAUACAUAUAUAUAAAGGAAGCUUAGACUGCUGAUGUGACAUACUUUUAUAGCCUUCAUUCCCUUUUUUCCUUUUUCUCAAUUUUUUCUAUUUUUUCUCUAUUUAAUUAUUAUAUUAAAUAGUUAAUAGUUCUUAAUUACACCUUCCCAUUUACUAUUCUUUAUUUUCCACAACUUUAUCAAUUUUCAGAAUUCAAAAGGUUAUCAAUAUUUCUUUAAAUAACUCCACUUAAAUAGGUAUUCUAUAAAAUAAAAUAAUUUCUGCAGCAAACAACCCGACUAGCUCACAAUCAAACAACUCUGCAGUAACUCAUCGACGAAAAAGGGGCCGCUGAGCGUCCGCCGCUUCAGUUGUAAAAGCAAAAUAUCUCUUUGAUUGUUGUGAGUUUUGAUUUUUGUGGGUGCCGCUUCAGUUGUGAAAGAAAACUUUCUUCAGAAGUAGGGAGAUUACGGUUGACAACCAUUGAAGAUCCGAGGUAUUAUUUUUGCUUAUCCAAUAUUUCCUUUCUUACAAUCACCAUUUCUCACAAUUUUCAAUGAUUCGGGUACCUUCUGUCUUAUCUGCCUGUGACGACCUUGAACCCGUCGCUUGUACUGCCAUUGUCAACCGUCGAUUCUGUUACACCAAAGAUCUUUCAGUAGACCUAGGAAAAGCAAAAAAUUUAUCAGAAAAUUAAAUCUUGAAAGUACAGAUUUCAAAAAUUUUCUCAGAAAAAUUGAAUAUUGAAAUAAAGAAGAAAGUGACGAAUAAUUUUGAGCCAACGACGACAAUGGCUGCCGAAUCGAUCAAAACCAUAUCAUCGUUCUUUUUUACAGGAAUGGCGGAUGAAGCAACAACUCUCUAUUUGCUGCUGCUACUUUGGAAGUUUCGUUUUUGCUUCUACUGAAUUUAAUACUACUACAUUGGGUGAUGUACACUGUGUAUCUUUGAUUGUGCUCUUAUGAUAUUGAUGAUAAAAGGUCCGAUGAGGAAAUACGAGGAUGAAGAAGACAUUUUGAUUAUUGAAGGUAUGUCGAAGAAAUCGAAAAUGAAUUCAAUAGAAACGCGAAAGAGAGUGUAUUUAAUAUUUUUUCCC
Molecule: long non-coding RNA, 9421 nt
Filed under: Capsicum annuum
Lineage: Eukaryota; Viridiplantae; Streptophyta; Magnoliopsida; Solanales; Solanaceae
Description: long non-coding RNA (CANN_LNC016449)
Source: RNAcentral